RNAcentral lists this long non-coding RNA (7760 nucleotides) under Erythranthe guttata (spotted monkey flower). RNAcentral's name for it is "long non-coding RNA (EGUT_LNC003922)". The record is from RNAcentral. Lineage: Eukaryota; Viridiplantae; Streptophyta; Magnoliopsida; Lamiales; Phrymaceae.
GUGUGCUAACUUGGCUAGCCUCAGAAAUCUACACGAAGGCAUCGAUGAUUUGAUUCAAAUGCCUUCAGUCCAGCAAACACUUUCUCAAGGAAAUUGGAUAAACGAGUUGCUUGAGGGAUCUCUCAAGCUCGUUGAUCUAUGUGCUCUUUCUAGAGAGAUUGUUUCGUUGACAAAGGAAUCUGUUCAAGAUCUAGAAUCGUCAAUCAGGAGAAAUAAAGCCGAAACAGCCACAUCAUCCGAUGUCAGUGCUUAUGUGGCAUCGAGAAAGAAGAUCACUAAAAUGGUCAGCAAGAGCAUCAAGAAUUUGAAGAGCUUCGACCAUAAGUCGACAACAGAUAACAAUUUAUGGACAAUGAUGAAAGAAGUAGAAUCCCAUGAUUUAUCAGUCCUAAAGUCGGUUUUAAUCCUAUUGUCUGGCGAAAACGAAAAAUCAAGCAAGACAAGUUGGUCGUUGCUUUCAAAGUUCUCCACCCAAAACAGCCGUGUUUAUUCAGAAAAUGGUGCUGAGGAUUUGAGUUCGUUAAACAUCCAAAAGUCAACAAAAAACAUGGAUAGCAAAAGCAUGUUGAAGCAGUUGAAGUCAUCGGAAAUGACAAUCCAAGAAAUCGAAGAGGGAUUAGAAGCCUUAUUUAGAAGUUUAAUCAAAACUCGAGUUUCACUUCUUAAUGUUCUUAGCCAUUAGUCGUCUAAUUGGCUCGGGAUAAUUUUCACAUUUUUGACCAUACCAUACAAACAAGUGUAUAUAUACAUCUGUAAAUGAGAUAAAAUAUCAAUACCAAUACUUCAUCAUCUAUAUAAUUCAGUGCACAAAACCUCAACUCAACAUCUUUUUUUUUUUUUGUAUUAUCUGUCUAGAAUUAUUGAUCUGCUAUAAUUGCCGAGAGUAUUAUUUGCACGUUUAGAUGUUUAUUAUCGAUAAUUGAUUAAGUAAUAACAUAGUACGAUAUGAAUAUUACGUACAUGCAAUAACUAAUUGAUCAUUUCUUGAGACUAGACUGUCAAGAUUCCUCUUGUUCUAAAUCAUUGAUCAAUUAUGUUAAUUAAUCUUACUCGUCGAGCCUGUAAUAUAUUUUUCCAUGUCUGAAGAUCAGUAACACCAGCUUAAUAAAAUAAUUUCAAUCAAAUAACAGAUCAUAAACACCAUACUAUUAAAUACACUUAAUCACUGUCAAGAUUCCUAAUGCUUCAAGAUCAAUGUAUAUUUAAUGUGUUAAAUUAAUUUUUAUUUAUUUUUAUUUUUAUCUAUAGUUUUUAUAAUUUAAGAAACGUACAAAGCCGCAAUACAUGUAACAUCUAUUAAUACUAGUAAGAACUAAUUAGAAAACAAGUACAAUUUUUUAUUUUUUUAUUCGGUUUUAAAAUAAAAAGCCGCAAUAGAUUUUGGGAUGAAGAUUUUGUUCUCAGAAUUGUAGCCCCCCAUUGUUUAUAUGUAUUAUCUAUUAAAACUAGUAAGAAACUAAUUGGAUAAAAAUAACAAUUUAUUUCUACAAAUGAUUAUAUAUUGAUGUUGUUGUGAAAUUUAUAGAACUUCAAUCCCACCCUUUGCAUACUGAUCUGCUUCACUUGAGUCAACUUUCACAUCUGAAGCCUAAAUAUGUCAAUAUUUAUUUAUUUUUCGGUAAAACAAGAAGAUUCCGUUUAAUGGACGUCCUGUUCUAUUUUUUUAUUAUUCAGCUAUGAGAACUAUAGCACACAAUAUAAAUAACCCGGUAGUGCAGCAGCGUGGUAAGUAAUUUAGAACUAUACGGUGUCAAAAAAAUUCACACGUUUUUUAGGUGUUUCUAAGACGAUAAUCAUUUUAUAAUUCAACCGCAUACUGCACGAAAACACGUGUAGUUUAUAAGUUAUAUAUUAGUUUGCAUAUUUUUUAUUUUGUUGGUUGUCUGAAGAUCAGAAACCUUCCAGCCUAGCACAAAAUAAUCUUUUAUACACAGUUAUGGAGACAUCUGACAUACCUCAUCAAUGACUCAGCUUUUUAUUACAAUUUAUGAAAUUGUUUUCAUGGCUGUCAAGAUUCCUCCUGCUCCAAUAUCGUGCAGCUGAGAUCUGCAUGAUUUGAGAUUUCGUAUAUUUCUCGAUUAUUCAAUAUCAUGGGGGACAUGCAAUUCGUGCACAUUCAUAUUUAUUUUUAAUUAUUCACAAGUUGAUGAGACAUUGUAGGUGGAACAUAUUCGUUUCGACUUAUUCAUAUUCGUCUCCCUUCAUAUAUAUAUAUAGCCCAUACCAUAACUAUUACUUCAACCAUCUAACUAUCUUCUUCCAAAGUCAUAUAUUCUACAUUCAACCUCUUAAACACUUCAUUUUUAUAUUUAAAAAAAAAAAGAUGGCUACUACUACUUACCAUUCUCGAUCGAACAGUUUCCCAUCUCAAUCUCAUCCAGCGAUCGAAAGCGUUGAAGACCAUUUAUGCAGAUUGAGGGCCGACUCAGAAUCCACUUCUGUGUGUUCUAACUUGGCUAGCCUCAGAAAUCUACACGAAGGCAUCAAUGAUUUGAUUCAACUGCCUUCAAUUCAGCAAACACUUUCUCAAGGAAAUUGGAUAAACGGGUUGCUCGAGGGAUCUCUCAAGCUCGUUGAUCUAUGUGCUAUUUCUAGAGAGAUUGUUUCUUUGACCAAGGAGUCUGUUCAAGAUCUUGAAUCCUCCAUCAGGAGAAAUAAAGCCGAAGCAGCCUCAUCAGCCGAUGUUAGUGCUUAUGUGGCCUCAAGAAAGAAGAUCACUAAGAUGGUCAACAAAAGCAUCAAGAAUUUGAAGAGCUUCAACAACAAGUCUACAACAGAUAACGAAUUAUGGACAAUGAUGAAAGAAACAGAGUCCCAUGAUUUAUCAAUUCUAAAGUCUGUCUUAAUCCUCUUGUCUGGGGAAAACGAAAAGUCAAACAAAAGAAGUUGGUCGUUGCUUUCAAAGUUCACAACCCAAAAUAGCCGUGUUUGUUCUGAAGUCGAGCAAGAAAGUGGUGCUGAGGAUUUGAGUUCGUUGAUCAUCGAAAAGUCAACAAAAAACAUGGACAGCAAAAACAUGUUGAAACAGUUGAAAUCAUCGAAAAUGAUCAUUCAAGAACUCGAAGAGGGAUUAGAAGCCUUAUUUAGAAGUUUAGUGAAAAACAGAGUUUCACUUCUUAAUGUUCUUAGCCAUUAGCCACAUUUUUUAUCUUACCAUAGAAAUGUAUACUAUACUGUAAAUCACAUACAAAAUCAAUACUUCGUUACCUAUAUAAUUCAGUGCACAACACCUUAACUCAACAUCUAUUUUGCUCUAUUAACUAUCUAAAAUUACCGAUCUGUUAUAUAACUUAUAAUUACCGACGAUACUAUUAUUUGUAUGGUUUAUAUAUUUACUAUCAAAAUUUUACUUAAGUAAUAACAUAAUUCAGCAAAUAAAAAUGUGAAUAUAAUUCAAAGCUUGAUAAUGCAACACUGCAAUCAUGUCCAAAGCUAGGUUGUCAAGAUUCCUCCUGUUCUUAAUCAUUAAUCAAUUAAUGGAUGAAAUGGCCAUUACUAAUGACUCACAACUAUGAAUAUUCAAUUAUUUAAAGAAAACAUAAACUACAAUUAACAUCUUUCUUAAUCUUACUCAUCAAGCCCACGUUAUGUUUUUCCGUGUCUGAAGAUCAUAAAUAAUUAACAUAUAUUAUAAGCUGAUCAGUAGGCCUCAGGACUUGAUUACUGUCAAGAUUCCUAAUGCUUCAAAAUUAGUGAAUAUAAUAUAUAUUAAUGAAACACAUGCAAUGUCAUUUCCCAAAAAUAGGACCCUAAAACAUAGAAAAAUGAGUAAAUAUUAAAAAAUGGGAUAUAAACAUAAAUUGCAGACAACACUUCACUUUUUCUGCCUUUAUGGGAUAAUAAAUAAUCACAAAUUUCCCAUGAUUUUAAUGGAUUAACAAUAAUUUACUAGCCAGCACGAACGAAUUAAUACUUUCUUCCUUGUCUGAAGAUCAGAACAAACUCCAGCCUAGCACUGUGACUACGUACUAGUAUUUUAUUCACACCGGAGCUUACGGUUGGGAGACAUUUCAUUAAUGAGUAAGCUAUAUAUGAAUUAAUUCAAUUUCAUGUCUGUCAAGAUUCCUCACUCUUCAAUUAUAAUAAUGCAGCUAGCUGAGAUCUGCAUGAUCUGAGUUUUUUUUAUUAUCAAUAAUUCAAGAUCACUGUGAAUUCGUGCAUAUUCAUAUUUAAUUUCCAAUUUUUCACAAGUUGACGCGACAUUGUAGGUGGAACAUAAUCCUUCUGUUUUUCUUUUGUCCCAUCUCCCUCUCUACAUAUAUACCUCACAACAUCUAAUUCAAACAUAUCUUCAAACAAAUCACAUCUUCUCUCAAACUCACAUACCAACACUUUCAUCUUUCAAAGAUCAUUUCGUUAAAAAAAAAAUAGGAUGGCUAAUUUCCAUUCUCGAUCUAACAGUUUCCCUUCUCAAUCUCACCCAAUAAUCGAAAGCGUUGAAGACCAAUUGUGCAGAUUGAGGGCCGUCUCAGAAUCCACUUCUGUGUGUUCUAACUUGGCCAGCCUCAGAAACCUACAUGAAGGCAUAAAUGAUUUAAUUCAAAUGCCUUCAAUCCAACAAACACUUUCUCACGAAAAUUGGAUAAACGAGUUGCUCGAGGGAUCUCUUAAGCUCGUUGAUCUAUGUGCUCUUUCUAGAGAAAUCGUGUGUUUGACCAAGGAGUCUGUUCAAGAUCUAGAAUCCUCAAUCAGGAGAAAUAAAGCCGAAACAGCCACAUCAGCCGAUGUUAGUGCUUAUGUGGCAUCGAGAAAGAAGAUCACUAAGAUGGUCAACAAAAGCAUCAAGAAUUUGAAGAGCUUCAACCACAAGUCAACAACAGAUAACGAUUUAUUGACAAUGCUGAAAGAAGCGGAGUCCCAUGAUUUAUCAGUCCUAAAGUCCGUCUUAAUCCUAUUGUCUGGCGAAAACGAAAAAUCAAGCAAGACAAGUUGGUCGUUGCUUUCAAAGUUCUCCACCCAAAACAGCCGUGUUUAUUCAGAAAAUGGUGCUGAGGAUUUGAGUUCGUUAAACAUCCAAAAGUCAACAAAAAACAUGGAUAGCAAAAGCAUGUUGAAGCAGUUGAAAUCAUCGGAAAUGACCAUUCAAGAACUAGAAGAGGGAUUAGAAGCCUUAUUUAGAAGUUUAGUCAAAACUAGAGUUUCACUUCUUAAUGUUCUUAGCCAUUAGUCGUCUAAUUGGCUUGGGAUAUUUUUCACAAUUUUGACCAUACCAUACAAGUGUUAUAUACAUCUGUAAAUGAGAUAAAAUAUCAAUACCGAUACUUCGUUAUCUAUAAUUCAGUGCACAAAACCUCAACUCAACAUCUUUUUUUAUUUUAUUUUAUUUUUUAUUUUUUUAUUUUUUUUAUCAUCUGUGUAAAAUUAUUGAUCUGCUAUAAUUGCUGAGAAUAUUAUUUGCACGUUUAGAUGUUUAUUAUCAAUAAUUUACUAAGUGAUAACAUAAAUUCAGCAUUAACAUAUGCAACCACUAAUUGAUCACUUCUAUAGGCUAGGUUGUCAAGAUUCCUCUUGUUCUUAAUCAUCGAUCAAUUUAUGGAUGCUAAUGACCAUCUUUUUCUGAUUUCUAUGAAUAAUGACUUAAUAUCAUGUUGUAACUAAAGCACAAGGCCGGCAAAAAAUAAAGAAAAAUAAUAUUGAAGUAUAGGUUGGUGUCUGAAUUAUUACAGAUCUAAAAAUUGUGUUUCUUUGUAAUGCUUGAUAAUUAAAAUAAUGACUAUUUAAAUUUCCGUCGAAUUAAUUUAAUCUCCAUUAGGACAAUGACGUUCCAAUUAUAAUAAUAAUAAUAAUAAUAAAAAAAAAAAAAAAAAAAAAACAAGAAAAACGAAAAUCAAUCAUGUUAAUUUAUCUUACUCGCCGAGCCUGUUAUAUGUUUUUCCAUGUCCGAACAUCAGAAACACCAACAUAAUCAAAUUAUUCCUAAUGCUUAGUGGCAGUCAAGAUUCCUAAUCUUACUCGUCGAGCCUCUUUCUGUCAAAUAACAGAUCAUUAUAAGCUAAGAAUGAGUUUAUGGAUGGCCAUAUUAUUAAACUUAGUAUCUGUCAAGAUUCCUAUUGCUUCAAGAUGAACGUAUAUAAUGCAUCAAUAAUCUGUUGGUUGAAUUGUUUUAUGUAUAGCUGUUUCAAACAUAGGGAGCAUUAGAUUUGCACACGAUCACAUUUAGUUGAAAUUUCCAGCAAAAACGAGACAUCUUAUAGGGGGAAUUGAUUCCUUUUGUUUCCUUUCUCAAUCUUCUUAUAUAGAGCUGGUGAACAAGUGACUACAUAACAUAUUUUCUCAAUGCCAAACUGUAAAUCCAACCUUAAACAAUUUACCAUUUUCUUACCAAAAAAUAAAAUAAAAUUAAGAUGGCCAACUUCCAUUCUCGAUCAAACAGUUUGCCAUGCAAAUCUCAUCCACUAAUGAAUGAUGUCGAACACCAUUUGUGCAGAUUAAAAUCGUCGACAGAAACAUCAACAUCAGCCAAUUCAAUAUGUGAAAACUUAGCUACCCUCACAAGUUUAUACGAAGGCAUAAAAAUCUGAUUCAGAUGCCUUCAACCAAAGAAGCCCUUUCAAAUGAAGAAGGCGGAAAUUGGAGAAACGAGUUGCUUGAAGGAUCUCUAAGGCUUGUGGAUCUAUGUGGAAUUUCUAGAGAGAUCGUCUGUUUGACCAAGGAAUCUAUUCAAGAGCUCGAAUCUUCUAUUAGGAGAAAAUCAGAUGACAUCAUCGCUUACGCGGCGUCGAGAAAGAAGAUCAAUAAAAUGGUCAUCAAUAAUUUGAAGAGCUUCAAUCACAAGUCAACAACAGCAAUCCCAUGCGAUCAAACGGUCAUUGGGAAAAUGCUAACAGAAACAGAAGCCCUUGUUUUAUCUGUCCUAAAAUCCGUAUUGAUGCUCGUUUCUGGUGCAAAAGGGAGAUCGAAGCCAAAGAGUUGGUCAUUGUUUUCCAAGUUUUCUCAAACGAGCUGCAUGCAUAGUGAAUUAGAGCAAGAAAGUGGUUCCGAUGAGUUGUGUUUUUCGAGAAAAGGAAUUGAUAAUCUCAGUUUGAAGCAGCUGAAAGCAUCGGAAAUGAAAAUCGAGGAAAUUGAAGAGGGAUUGGAAGACUUGUUUAGAAGUUUAGUGAAAACUAGAGUUUCUCUACUUAAUGUUCUCUGCUAAUUAGCCUCUUUUGCUUGAGCUGAUAUUCGACACUUGUAAUUAUCUAACUAACUACAGAGUUCUAUAUAUAAAUCUUCAAACCAAAUUCCAUUAAUUUGUCUGUGUUUUCUCGAUUCCAUUAAUCUUCAAAUCAAGUUUUAUAAUAAUUUACCAAAUUGCGACGAAGGAAUGGUUAGAAAAUAUUCAUAAUAACUUACUGAACAGAUUUUUUUUUUAGAAUAAGAAAUCAUAAGCCCUAAAAAAUCAGGCAUAAUCAGCAUAUAGUCGAGGAGGAGGAGAAAACACUUUGGUACCUGUGAUUCGAAGUUUCGACCGCCGUCUGGGAGGAGGAGGUGGAAAGCGGACGCCGUGAUUGGAGAAAAAAGGAUUUUGUCGGCUGUCGUGCGCAAAAGGAAGCGACGAAGUUGUAGUUUUCAGCGAUAGUGACGGCAAACGGGAACGGCGAUUUGCAGGUAAGAAUUUUGUGUAAUUACUGAAAUGGGCACGAAACGUUUCCGGCCGGUGUCUUCGCGUUCCCGGUUUCCGGAAAAACUCCCUUUUUUGUCCGUUUGUGUGUUCCCGUUUCCACUGCCGUCUCCGUUACUAACACCACAAUAUUGUUGUUGUCAUCAGGGGCGGACCCAGG